This 382-nucleotide ribosomal RNA is filed under the name uncultured eukaryote. Its description in RNAcentral is "partial 18S ribosomal RNA". It matches the Rfam family "Eukaryotic small subunit ribosomal RNA", at positions 592 to 976 of the family's 1831-position model. The record is from RNAcentral.
UGUAAGCGUAUACCAAAGUUGUUGCAGUUAAAACGCUCGUAGUCGGAAUUUGGCAGUUCCGGAAGUGUGCACGUCGUGUGCGCACUUUGCGGGGACUGCUUUUGUGGUCUUGCGUAGGAUGAGGCACUUUCAUUAGUGAACGUCCUCACGCAACCACUCUUUACUGUGAGAAAAUCAGAGUGCUCAAAGCAGGCAUUUGCCGUGAAUGUAUUAGCAUGGAAUAAUAGAAUAGGACUCGGUUCUAUUUUGUUGGUUUGUUGGGACUGAGUAAUGAUUAAGAGGGACAGUUGGGGGCAUUUGUAUUCCGGCGCUAGAGGUGAAAUUCUUAGAUUGCCGGAAGACAAACUGCUGCGAAAGCGUCUGCCAAGGAUGUAUUCAUUGA